RNAcentral lists this ribosomal RNA (253 nucleotides) under uncultured bacterium. RNAcentral's name for it is "partial 16S ribosomal RNA". It matches the Rfam family "Bacterial small subunit ribosomal RNA", at positions 524 to 776 of the family's 1533-position model. The record is from RNAcentral.
UACGUAGGGUGCAAGCGUUAAUCGGAAUUACUGGGCGUAAAGCGUGCGCAGGCGGCUUUGCAAGACAGAUGUGAAAUCCCCGGGCUUAACCUGGGAACUGCAUUUGUGACUGCAUGGCUGGAGUGCGGCAGAGGGGGAUGGAAUUCCUGGUGUAGCAGUGAAAUGCGUAGAUAUCAGGAGGAACACCGAUGGCGAAGGCAGGUCUCUGGGCUGACACUGACGCUCAUGCACGAAAGCGUGGGGAGCAAACAGG